This 590-nucleotide long non-coding RNA is filed under the name Brassica rapa (field mustard). Its description in RNAcentral is "long non-coding RNA (BRAP_LNC005458)". The record is from RNAcentral. Lineage: Eukaryota; Viridiplantae; Streptophyta; Magnoliopsida; Brassicales; Brassicaceae.
AUUGAGAUAACAAGAAUUUUUGUUGACUGAUGAGUAUUUUUUUAGAGUUUUUGAUCAAUAUGUUGUAUUUUUUAGAUUUAAUUCUCAAAUAUUCUAUUUUAGGAAAUUUUCAUUUUAUUGAGAAAUAUUGUACAUUUGGGGUUGUUAUUUAGAAAUAGGAUAACAAGAACUUUUGUUGAUAGAUGAGUAUUCUAUUAGAUUUUUUGAUCAAUAUGUGGUAUUUUUAAAAUAAAAUACUCAAAAAUCUAUUUUAGGAAAGUUUUUAUUUUCAUAGGGAAAUAUUGUAAAUUUGGGGUUGUGAUUUAGAAAUUGAAAUAACAAGAAUUUUUGUUGAUAGAUGAGUAUUUUUUUUAGAUUUUUUUAUCAAUAGGUUGUAUUUUUUAAAUAAGAUACUCAAACAAUCUAUUUUAGGAAAGUUUUCAUUUUCAUUGGAAAAUAUUGUAAAUUUGAGGUUGUGAUUUAGAAAUUGAGAUAACAAGAAUUUUUGUUGAUAGAUGAGUAUUUUUUUAGAAUUUUUUUUUAUCAAUAUGUUGUAUUUUUUAAAUAAAAUACUCAAAAAUCUAUUUUAGGAAUAAAAUACUCAAAAAAUU